RNAcentral lists this long non-coding RNA (413 nucleotides) under Helianthus annuus (common sunflower). RNAcentral's name for it is "hypothetical non coding rna". Lineage: Eukaryota; Viridiplantae; Streptophyta; Magnoliopsida; Asterales; Asteraceae. The record is from RNAcentral.
GUGUGUGUUCUGUACGUGAUCAGGGAAGGCUCUAGAGAGCCAAACCCUAGUUCAUCAUAUAUCAACCAAUUGAAGCAUGAAUCGAGGCUCAAAUUCAAGAAGGAACAUGAAUUAACGAUCACCCAAGCUAGGGGAUCAUAAGGAAUCAUGUCAAGAUGGAUGGGAGCUUUGAAGGCUAACGGGCUAAGAGGACUCAAUCAAGUAAGCGAACGAGAAUACGGACGCGCAAGGCUAUACAUGUUUGGAUGUUUCAUCUAGAAGUGUACGCGGUUGGAGAUCGAGUCAAGACACGGAUUGUAUGUGGGUGUGUACGUAGUCACAUAAUUGAGACAUGUAUGUUAGUCUUUGGAUUAAUUUAUAAAAAGAGAUUAAUGUAUUUAAAUGAAAGAAAGAAUAUCUUGAAGGAAUAUUUU